This 235-nucleotide long non-coding RNA is filed under the name Homo sapiens (human). RNAcentral describes it as "HSALNT0014292". Lineage: Eukaryota; Metazoa; Chordata; Mammalia; Primates; Hominidae. The record is from RNAcentral.
GUUGUGGAUCUGGUCAGAAAGAGUGGGAAUUCAGUGACUUUACUAGUUCUGGAUGGGGAUUCCUAUGAGAAAGCAGUGAAAACACGGGUGGACUUGAAAGAGUUGGGUCAAAGUCAGAAGGAGCAAGGUUUGAGUGAUAAUAUACUUUCCCCUGUGAUGAAUGGAGGUGUGCAAACUUGGACCCAGCCCCGGCUCUGCUAUCUCGUGAAGGAGGGAGGCAGCCAUGGCUUCUCUC